GGCCCCAUCGUCUAGAGGCCAAGGACACCACCCUCUCAAGGUGGAGACACGGGUUCGAAUCCCGUUGGGGCUGCAA
RNAcentral lists this transfer RNA (76 nucleotides) under Actinomycetes bacterium. Its description in RNAcentral is "Actinobacteria bacterium tRNA-Glu". It matches the Rfam family "tRNA". Rfam says of the family: Transfer RNA (tRNA) molecules are approximately 80 nucleotides in length. Their secondary structure includes four short double-helical elements and three loops (D, anti-codon, and T loops). The record is from RNAcentral. Lineage: Bacteria; Bacillati; Actinomycetota; Actinomycetes.